This 482-nucleotide ribosomal RNA is filed under the name uncultured bacterium. RNAcentral describes it as "partial 16S ribosomal RNA". It matches the Rfam family "Bacterial small subunit ribosomal RNA", at positions 28 to 507 of the family's 1533-position model. The record is from RNAcentral.
GACGAACGCUGGCGGCGUGCCUAACACAUGCAAGUCGAACGGAACUGUUUUGAAAGAUUUCUUCGGAAUGAAUUUGAUUUAGUUUAGUGGCGGACGGGUGAGUAACGCGUGAGUAACCUUCCUUCAAGAGGGGAAUAACAUUCUGAAAAGAAUGCUAAUACCGCAUGACAUAUCGGAACCACAUGGUUUUGAUAUCAAAGAUUUUAUCGCUUGAAGAUGGACUCGCGUCCGAUUAGUUAGUUGGUGAGGUAACGGCUCACCAAGACCGCGAUCGGUAGCCGGACUGAGAGGUUGAACGGACACAUUGGGACUGAGACACGGCCCAGACUCCUACGGGAGGCAGCAGUGGGGGAUAUUGAGCAAUGGGGGCAACACUGACGCAGCAACGCCGCGUGAAGGAUGAAGGUUUUCGGAUUGUAAACUUCUUUUAUUAAGGACGAAAAAUGACGGUACUUAAUGAAUAAGCUCCGGCUAACUACGUG